AUCAUACAUAGAACCCAGGAGAAAAUAUCUCUUAAUACUCUAAGUGUUUAAUAUACAAAUCAAAACACGUAAUAUAUACUAUACGUAUACCUAUAUACGCCGCAGUGACUUCGAGCAUCGACCACCACUCCGAAUACUAUUCCGGACAUGCAUUUGAGUCGACGUGGUGCUGCUGUAGCUGUAUUAGGUGGUUUAUUGUAUGUCAUCGGUGGUCACGACGGAGCUUCUAUUUUAGAUUCUGUAGAAUCUUAGUUCUUACAACCCUAAAACUAACACCUGGACCAUGAUCACAGCGACAAUGAAUGUUACAAGGAGAUUUGCAAAAGUUGUAGCCAUUGAUAUGCCACGAUAUAUUAAAACUUGUUAGAAUUCACAUUAUUUUUUUGAUUCAAUAUACUAUUAUUUUCUCAUUUUGUAUAA
Long non-coding RNA from Acyrthosiphon pisum (pea aphid), 420 nucleotides. RefSeq lists it as uncharacterized. The record is from RefSeq and is a predicted model, not a curated record. Lineage: Eukaryota; Metazoa; Arthropoda; Insecta; Hemiptera; Aphididae. The transcript has 2 exons.